This 109-nucleotide ribosomal RNA is filed under the name Candidatus Giovannonibacteria bacterium. Lineage: Bacteria; Candidatus Giovannoniibacteriota. The record is from RNAcentral.
UUCGGUGACUUAACGCUAUGGAACUACCCGUUCUCAUUCCGAACACGGUCGUAAAACAUAGUAGUGCCGAUGAUACUCGCUUUGCGGGGAAAGUAGGUAGUCGCCGGUA